Long non-coding RNA from Falco peregrinus (peregrine falcon), 955 nucleotides. RefSeq lists it as uncharacterized. NCBI's taxonomy places the organism in Eukaryota, Metazoa, Chordata, Aves, Falconiformes, Falconidae. The record is from RefSeq and is a predicted model, not a curated record. The transcript has 2 exons.
UUUUCUGUUUUGGUGGGAAUCAUUUAAGGUCAAGACUGGGAUAAAAUAGAGGAGCAGAGUGGUCAGGUGUACUCACUCUGCUACUGAUCUGGUAAUGUGAAGAAUUCCAGAAAUGCCAGAUGUCUCAUUCAUCAGCAUUCAGAAAACCCAGGCAAAGAAAGCCACCUUAUUGCAGAAGUACAGUAUGGAAAAAUAGUUGUUUUACAGGCAUUGCUUUUUUUUCCCAGAAGCAGCCUUUUGCUGAGGAAAUGUGAUUGCAGAUGCUUUGUCUACAGCUUUAGCUUUGUGCCAAGCUGGAGAAAGGGAGAAGGACACAGCUCUGGUGCUGCCCAACAACCUGGUUAUACCAGCAAGGAAGAACAAGCCCCUUUAACAAGUGUGCUUUACUUCGUGACGUUCUGGACCAAAAUAAGUCCAAAGGAGGCUGAGGGAGGAGAAGAAGGAGCAUCAGCAAUGAUGUCAGUUAAGCCCGAGCAACUGUGAGUGAAAGAGCCGGUGUCUUUACAGAGUUGUGUGCUAACCCAAGCCCUCAUAGCGUACCCAUCAGCAAGUUUAGUGCUCCCUCUCGUGGCAGAUUCUGACCAGUAAAUCCGUCGUAACUCGUUAGUGGCAAAACGUGCUUGUGGUUAGCUAUACGUAUCUGGCAUCCAAACUAUUUUAAUGCUACUAUGUACCAAGCUUAAUAGACUUAUAAACACAGAUAGCACUGAAUUCUUUUUUAUUGACACUGGGUGGGUGGGUGGGGGGGAAUCUUUCACCAUCUGAUCAACUGAAGUUUGCCAAAUGAAAAUAGACAAAACAAAUGUUUAUGUACGUGCAAACAUUGCAGAUCAAACUGCUAAAAGAAAUAACUAAAAGACAGGUCUUGUGCUAAGAUCAAGCAGCAGAAAAAUAGCAAAUAGGUAAAUGACUAUUAAGUAGGUCUUACUUUGAAACUUCCCAUUUAAACAAAGAA